Triticum dicoccoides is the source of this 1393-nucleotide RNA transcript. RefSeq lists it as uncharacterized. The transcript is spliced from 5 exons. The record is from RefSeq and is a predicted model, not a curated record. Lineage: Eukaryota; Viridiplantae; Streptophyta; Magnoliopsida; Poales; Poaceae.
AGCUUGUUGGGCCUGAAUUUACCCGGCCGUGUCCAGCAAGGCCCGCAAUAGGCGCACAUGGACAUGGGCUCCCAGUAGCCAGGCCAGGAGAUACAGAUGCGAGCUGCCUCAAAAAGUAAAAAAAGUAAAAAAAAAGACGCGAGCUGCCUCGUCCUCUUCUUACCCGACCCCCAAAUCUGACACAGCGCCGGCCACCCCGCCGGAAUCCGGCUCCACCAGUCGGCCCCCUCCAAGCCGCGGUUCACUCGCCGAUCCAUUGCGGUGACGCCGGCAGCGGAGGUCGCCGGGGACAGGAGACGACGAGGGGGAUGGAGGCCGCCGUACUGGAUCCCCUCGGUGGCCACGCGCGACCUGCGGAGCGACGGGAGGCGCCGGCGUCGACCGUGCACUGUGGCAAUGGUGAAGAUGCUGCUGCUGCAGAUGAUGACUCCUGGUGUGAUGCUUCAGAUUCUACAGGACAUGAUUCCAGCUUACACAGAGAAUGGACCCACAGGCAGGACCAGUUUCAUAAGAUGGGCUAUAGGGAUGGUAUAACAGAAGGGCAGAAGGAUGCUGCCCAAGAGGGGUUCAACCUUGGGCAUAGGCAGUCUGCGGAUGUUGGAUACAAGUGGGGUCUUGUUCGGGGGAUUACUAGUGCAUUUGCUAGUCUUUCCGACAGUCUUAAAGAAAAGUGGCUGCUCGACGCCCAGCGUAGAGGAAAACUUGAAGAUUUGCAUAACUUCGUGCAAGAAAUUUCAGCACAGGGUGCUCUGCAGUUGUUUCACGAGAGUACUCUUAAGAAUAAUCUUCGACCAGAGGAGAGCAAGCUCCAAACAAUUACAAAGGACCUUCUCCUGUUGUUGCACGAAUGCCCAGAUGUUCAUGUUAGUGAAGAGUUGAAACGAGUUCCAUAAGCAAGGUCAUACAUGAAAUUGCAGGCACCACUGAUUUUGAAGUCUGAUAGAAUCACCCACACCUAGUCUUCUGAAGGAUGUAGCAAGGGCCUGAAGAACUAUCCCAAGCAGACUGGAUUUUCAUGGAACAUGUGACAGACUGUGUUAUCGCCGACCUAAGUUUGACUCCAAUGGCGGAGUCUGUACACGGCAUGGACGAUCUCGACCAUCUCAUCACCCAUGAACUCUCAGAGAGCAGGCUGUUCAUGCGUGGAACAUGUGACAAACCACAUUGGUGCCAACCUAUGUUUGACUACUCCAAGAGUUAUGAUUGAUUGGAAAUUGCCAUUAGAUUACUACAUGUUUUUCUUUUUCUUUCCUAUAUCUUGUUUCGCUGGAACAUUCUAGUGAUCAUAUAUCGGUGAAACCUUCGGUUACCUUAGAGAGUGUGAGUUGGCUUUGAUAGCAGUUCAACCCUGUAGUAUUAACUUAACCUACAAUGACAUGCUGUGGUUUUUAUU